This is a regulatory RNA element of Nocardia brasiliensis ATCC 700358, 114 nucleotides long. It matches the Rfam family "SAM (S-adenosyl methionine) riboswitch aptamer". From Rfam's summary of the family: SAM-IV is a mRNA element that regulates gene expression via direct sensing of S-adenosylmethionine (SAM or AdoMet). SAM-IV riboswitches share conserved nucleotide positions with the previously described SAM-I riboswitches sequence analysis and molecular recognition experiments suggest that SAM-I and SAM-IV riboswitches share similar ligand binding sites, but have different scaffolds. Lineage: Bacteria; Bacillati; Actinomycetota; Actinomycetes; Mycobacteriales; Nocardiaceae. The record is from Rfam.
GGUCAUGAGUACCAGCGUUCAGCCCCGGCUUGCUGGUCGGCAACCCUCCUCCGCGGUGGGGUGCUCCGGGUGACGACCGGGCCGUCGCCCGACCGGGUGCGGCAAGCGCGGACU